GGCCUAUUAGUUCAGUUGGUUAGAGCGUGGUGCUAAUAACGCCAAGGUCGCAGGUUCGAGACCUGCAUGGGCCA
RNAcentral lists this transfer RNA (74 nucleotides) under Ananas comosus (pineapple). It matches the Rfam family "tRNA". Rfam says of the family: Transfer RNA (tRNA) molecules are approximately 80 nucleotides in length. Lineage: Eukaryota; Viridiplantae; Streptophyta; Magnoliopsida; Poales; Bromeliaceae. The record is from Rfam by way of RNAcentral.